Molecule: ribosomal RNA, 433 nt
Filed under: uncultured bacterium
Lineage: Bacteria
Description: partial 16S ribosomal RNA
Rfam family: Bacterial small subunit ribosomal RNA
Source: RNAcentral
AACGAACGCUGGCGGCAUGCCUAACACAUGCAGGUCGAACGAGACCUUCGGGUCUAGUGGCGCACGGGUGCGUAACGCGUGGGAACCUGCCUUUAGGUUCGGAAUAACUCAGAGAAAUUUGAGCUAAUACCGGAUGAUGUCUUCGGACCAAAGAUUUAUCGCCUUUAGAUGGGCCCGCGUUGGAUUAGCUAGUUGGUGGGGUAAAGGCCUACCAAGGCGACGAUCCAUAGCUGGUCUGAGAGGAUGAUCAGCCACACUGGGACUGAGACACGGCCCAGACUCCUACGGGAGGCAGCAGUGGGGCAUAUUGGACAAUGGGCGAAAGCCUGAUCCAGCAAUGCCGCGUGAGUGAUGAAGGCCUUAGGGUUGUAAAGCUCUUUUACCCGAGAUGAUAAUGACAGUAUCGGGAGAAUAAGCUCCGGCUAACUCCGUG